This 502-nucleotide ribosomal RNA is filed under the name uncultured bacterium. Its description in RNAcentral is "bacterial SSU rRNA". It matches the Rfam family "Bacterial small subunit ribosomal RNA", at positions 28 to 531 of the family's 1533-position model. The record is from RNAcentral.
GACGAACGCUGGCGGCGUGCCUAACACAUGCAAGUCGAGCGGGGUUGAAGCGAGGGGUAACUCGAACUUCUACCUAGCGGCGGACGGGUGAGUAACGCGUGGGCAACCUGCCUCAAGGUCUGGGAUAACAGCUCGAAAGGGCUGCUAAUACCGGAUAUGCCUAUAGCCUCGCAUGGGGCUAUGAGCAAAGGGGAAACCCGCCUUGAGAUGGGCCCGCGUCCCAUCAGCUAGUUGGUGAGGUGAAGGCUCACCAAGGCGACGACGGGUAGCCGGCCUGAGAGGGUGACCGGCCACACUGGGACUGAGACACGGCCCAGACUCCUACGGGGGGCAGCAGUGGGGAAUCUUGCACAAUGGGCGAAAGCCUGAUGCAGCGACGCCGCGUGAGCGAAGAAGGCCUUCGGUUGUAAAGCUCUGUCUGGAGGGACGAAGAAAGUAGACGGUACCUCCGGAGGAAGCCACGGCUAACUAACGUGCCACGCAGCGCGGUAACUAGUCUACG